Molecule: long non-coding RNA, 276 nt
Organism: Propithecus coquereli (Coquerel's sifaka)
Lineage: Eukaryota; Metazoa; Chordata; Mammalia; Primates; Indriidae
Exons: 2
Source: RefSeq, a predicted model, not a curated record
AACAGAAGAAUGGUUUAUUAUUGCCAGCUUUGGCCUCCUCAGUGCGCUCACGCUCUGCUACAUGAUCAUCAGAGCCACAGCUAGCUUGAAUGCUAAUGAGGUAGAGUGGUUUUGAAGAGAAGAAACCGCUUUCUGACCGGUGGCCUUGAAGGAGAAGAACCUAUUUUUGUGCAUCGUUUACCAAUCAUGCCACACAAGCAUUUAUUUUUAGUACAUUUUAUUUUUUCAUAAAAUUGCUAAUGCCAAAGCUUUGUAUUAAAAGAAAUAAAUAAUAAA